Molecule: long non-coding RNA, 2387 nt
Organism: Centropristis striata (black sea bass)
Lineage: Eukaryota; Metazoa; Chordata; Actinopteri; Perciformes; Serranidae
Exons: 2
Source: RefSeq, a predicted model, not a curated record
GAAAAGCAGACAGAUUGGUCCAUAAAUCAGGAAAUGAACAUGUAUCUUAUCAGUGUUUUCUGUCACAUGACUGCAGUUCACAGCUUCUCCUGAGGGUGGCAGCACGAUCCAACUGCUCCCAUGUCUUUGUUGAAGCUCAGUUUAUAAAGGGCCUGUUGUGUUGUUUGACUGCCAGCAGAAAACUGUAGGUGGAAACUCUCUGAGAGGCCUAAAAGCUCUGAAUCGCCUCCCACAAUUCAGUCUGAUUAUCAGCCCACUGCUUCAGUACGGCCACUUGUGAAUUUUAAAGCUUUGAAUCAAGAUGAAAGAAGUCAGAAACACACACAAAAAAAAAUACUUUUUCACACAAAAGGGCGCUUUUCUUUUUUUGGCUUGCUGCUUGAAAUAGUCCUUCUUUGUCAUUUCGCCUCCUCUUGGUGCAUCAUGAGUUCAUUCAAUAUGUCAGAUUAGAGUCAAUGUUUAAACUGUGUCCUGGUGUCGUGAUCGUUGUGUUUAAAUUCUAACAAAGUUAUAAAAGCGGCAUAAAAAUACUGGUUUCAAGCCGUUCAAUAGCUGAAACCUCUGAAAAUAAAUACCAUCUGUCCAUCCCUCUGGGUUGAACAAAACAAGAUAUGGACUUCGUCCCGCUGCAGGCGAGCUGCAAAUAGCUGGAAAUCCUUCCCAUCUAUGUCUCAGAGGUGCCCUCACUCUGUGCAGCAUCACUGUUUGAAUUUGAAUCAAAGCUGAUAGAGCCUUAAGAGAAUCUUUUUUAAUAAAUUGUUAUUUCCAAUUACUCAGACUUGGUGCAUUCACGGUCCUGCAGGGUGAAGCAGCAGCACAGCAGAUGCCGUCCGUCUGCUCGGGAGGCGAAUCUAAUUUUCGGGGUGUUUGAUUGAUGCAGAAUCACAUCCCGGCCUCCCUUACCAGCCUGGAUGUCGUCACCUCCCCGGGCUGCUCCCCUGCUCCCAGCCCUCGCUACCGAACCCGUCACACUGCAACCGUACACCGGACCCUGUCCCCCAAGGUCCACGCUAAGGGUCUAAUUGGUGACACAGACAGCAACCGCUGCAGCAAUUUAAUUAAUCCACAUGGGGGGAUUGCAAGCUGUUGUUUUCCUGCUGCAGAACAAAAGAGGUGAAGACGAGCAGAGUAGCUGAAGGGGCUGGAAACGAGGGAUGCUUUUAAAUCAGAGGGUUAGGAACGGAAAUAUAAUUCUACUGUACAGACAAAGAGUCAACAAAGAACUACAGCCCGACAGAUAUAUCGGCUGACAGAUAUAAGGCAUAUCAGUAUCAGUGUACAGUCAUGGAAAAAAAUAUUAGACCAUUUCUGACCAGCUGCCAUCUAGCCAUUUUCCAUGUUUUUUUUUAUAAUAACCAAAAUCAUCAUCAAGAAAACCAUGGAAAUUGCUAGAUAUAAGAUCUUAAAUUAAACUCUUAUGAGCUAUUUUUGUUAUCAUUAUAUUUGUCCAGAUAAAUGUACCUUUAGUUGUACCAAGCAUUAAAAUGAACAAGAAAUUGAAGAAAACAAGGGUGGUCUAAUAUUCUUUUUCCAUGACUGUAUAUGCUGUCUGAUAUGUGCUGUUAUAAUAUAUAUAUAUAUAUAAUUUUUACACAAUAUAUAAUGCUGCUUGGUGUUUUUAUUCCAUAGUCAGUAACUGACUGAACAGUUAUGUUUACUUAGUUAUUUGUUUUAUUCCUAUUUAUUCUUCAUUUCUCAGUUAUCACUUACAGAAUUGACUGAUAAUUUAAUACAUAAGCCCCAUUUACAUUUCACGCAUUACCUGGGUCAUUUGUCUGAUUGGCUGUGGUUGGGGAGAGAGGACACACCCAGAAUCCGCCCCUAUGGGCGAUUUAUUUUGGAGUUUUUAGUACCUGUCAGUGGAAAGGUCUUUUGGAACGCCCAGAAAUUACCUUCAAACUGAUUGGACGAUUUUUGCGAUUUUUUUUUUUUUCGCGGGCUUGAUGUCAGUAGGGUUACUUCCCUUUGAAGUCCUCUUCCAACGCUUGCUCCCUUCUAACGAUCGCCAUGAGAUUAGAUAAGAUAAUAUAUUACUUUAUUUAUCCCGCAGUGGGGAAAUUUAGUUGUCACAGCAGCUCAAGAUACAGACACAUAGAUAUAAGAAUAUUAAAAAAAAUAAAACAGAUGCAGAGAUAUACUCAGUAUAGUAUAAAGAAAUAAAUAAAUAAACCUGUAAAGUGACCUGGUGGAACAAACAGUGCGGUAUUAUGUGCAUAAACACAACCAGGAAAUCAGCAACCAACUGAUCUUCCAUGUCGACGUCGUCUUGUCCUUUUUUUAGUAUUUUGUGCCGGAGUUAGCCUGGUCGCCUCAAUGUUGUCAAGAUCAAAACAAAUGCUAACGUAGCAUUUAAAUAGACGCAUGUUGUUUACGUUAUCAGCAAAAAG